RNAcentral lists this ribosomal RNA (801 nucleotides) under uncultured Caulobacter sp. Its description in RNAcentral is "bacterial SSU rRNA". It matches the Rfam family "Bacterial small subunit ribosomal RNA", at positions 72 to 916 of the family's 1533-position model. The record is from RNAcentral. Lineage: Bacteria; Pseudomonadati; Pseudomonadota; Alphaproteobacteria; Caulobacterales; Caulobacteraceae.
GGAUCCUUCGGGAUUAGUGGCGGACGGGUGAGUAACACGUGGGAACGUGCCCUUUGGUUCGGAACAACUCAGGGAAACUUGAGCUAAUACCGGAUGUGCCCUUCGGGGGAAAGAUUUAUCGCCAUUGGAGCGGCCCGCGUCUGAUUAGCUAGUUGGUGAGGUAAAGGCUCACCAAGGCGACGAUCAGUAGCUGGUCUGAGAGGAUGAUCAGCCACAUUGGGACUGAGACACGGCCCAAACUCCUACGGGAGGCAGCAGUGGGGAAUCUUGCGCAAUGGGCGAAAGCCUGACGCAGCCAUGCCGCGUGAAUGAUGAAGGUCUUAGGAUUGUAAAAUUCUUUCACCGGGGACGAUAAUGACGGUACCCGGAGAAGAAGCCCCGGCUAACUUCGUGCCAGCAGCCGCGGUAAUACGAAGGGGGCUAGCGUUGCUCGGAAUUACUGGGCGUAAAGGGAGCGUAGGCGGACUGUUUAGUCAGAGGUGAAAGCCCAGGGCUCAACCUUGGAAUUGCCUUUGAUACUGGCAGUCUUGAGUACGGAAGAGGUAUGUGGAACUCCGAGUGUAGAGGUGAAAUUCGUAGAUAUUCGGAAGAACACCAGUGGCGAAGGCGACAUACUGGUCCGUUACUGACGCUGAGGCUCGAAAGCGUGGGGAGCAAACAGGAUUAGAUACCCUGGUAGUCCACGCCGUAAACGAUGAGUGCUAGUUGUCGGCAUGCAUGCAUGUCGGUGACACAGCUAACGCAUUAAGCACUCCGCCUGGGGAGUACGGUCGCAAGAUUAAAACUCACAUGAAUUGACGG